GAUCAUGGCUCAGAGCGAACGCUGGCGGCAGGCUUAACACAUGCAAGUCGAGCGGGCGUAGCAAUACGUCAGCGGCAGACGGGUGAGUAACGCGUGGGAACGUACCUUUUGGUUCGGAACAACACAGGGAAACUUGUGCUAAUACCGGAUAAGCCCCUUACGGGGAAAGAUUUAUCGCCGAAAGAUCGGCCCGCGUCUGAUUAGCUAGUUGGUAGGGUAAUGGCCUACCAAGGCGACGAUCAGUAGCUGGUCUGAGAGGAUGAUCAGCCACAUUGGGACUGAGACACGGCCCAAACUCCUACGGGAGGCAGCAGUGGGGAAUAUUGGACAAUGGGGCAACCCUGAUCCAGCCAUGCCGCGUGAGUGAUGAAGGCCCUAGGGUUGUAAAGCUCUUUUGUGCGGGAAGAUAAUGACGGUACCGCAAGAAUAAGCCCCGGCUAACUUCGUG
RNAcentral lists this ribosomal RNA (448 nucleotides) under uncultured bacterium. RNAcentral describes it as "bacterial SSU rRNA". It matches the Rfam family "Bacterial small subunit ribosomal RNA", at positions 15 to 507 of the family's 1533-position model. The record is from RNAcentral.